UACGAAGGGGGCUAGCGUUGCUCGGAAUCACUGGGCGUAAAGCGCACGUAGGCGGCUUUCUAAGUCAGGGGUGAAAUCCUGGAGCUCAACUCCAGAACUGCCUUUGAUACUGGGAAGCUCGAGUCCGGAAGAGGUGAGUGGAACUGCGAGUGUAGAGGUGAAAUUCGUAGAUAUUGGGUGGAACACCGGUGGCGAAAGCGGCUCACUGGCCCGGUUCUGACGCUGAGGCGCGAAAGCGUGGGGAGCAAACAGG
RNAcentral lists this ribosomal RNA (253 nucleotides) under uncultured bacterium. RNAcentral describes it as "partial 16S ribosomal RNA". It matches the Rfam family "Bacterial small subunit ribosomal RNA", at positions 524 to 776 of the family's 1533-position model. The record is from RNAcentral.